ACAUAGUGGAAUAUUAUUCUGUGUAUGUUUUUGGAUCAUUUAUUAUAAUAAAAAUUUCAUGGCUUUUCAUUUUUUCAGUGCUUCAGAAUUUCCUAGAAUUUAAAGUCUAAAUUUUACUUCUUCAAGUUAAGAAGAGUUUGAAGGUGAUCACACGACUUUUGACAUUUUAAAAACCAAUUCUUUGAGAAUUUUGAAAUCAACUUCAAACAAUCAGAAAUGACAAUGAAUCAUGGUGACUUCCCAAAAGUAUGGAGGAGAUCAAAGAAUGACAAAAUCAAAAGCACACUGAAUCAAGGAAAACUGAGCUGUCUGCACCUUCACAAGAAGACCUACCAGAUCCUGGACAUCCAUCUUCAUUUAGAACUCACCAGAUCUCAGACUGAAAUUUGCAAGAGUCUGUUGAAAUCAUCCACCCUAUGACAGUGUGCAUGUGACUAUGUAUGCAUAUGUGCUAUAGCAGACUAACUGAAGUGAUGCCAGACUCUCAAGGAGCCUGAUGUUACGUAUCUCCUGUCCAACUUACCCCAGUAAGCUUCAGUUGUUUUGGUUGCUCAUUGUAUGCUCUCUCAUACUCUUAUCAAGGCCCCCCACAAAUAUAGACCAUCACGGAGAAAUACAACUGAUGCAAUGCGAAGAGCAAUAAAUCAUGGGAACUCAGUCCUAACA
RNAcentral lists this long non-coding RNA (666 nucleotides) under Mus spicilegus (steppe mouse). RNAcentral's name for it is "lncRNA (ENSMSIG00000025852.1)". Lineage: Eukaryota; Metazoa; Chordata; Mammalia; Rodentia; Muridae. The record is from RNAcentral.